This 379-nucleotide long non-coding RNA is filed under the name Mytilus galloprovincialis (Mediterranean mussel). The record is from RNAcentral. Lineage: Eukaryota; Metazoa; Mollusca; Bivalvia; Mytilida; Mytilidae.
UCUUUGUAAAUAAUAUAGAUAUCUGUAUGUUUAUUUAUGCAUGUCUAUAAAUUUGAUUGUUUACCUGCACAUUGAUUGUACAUAUUGAGUUUAUAACACAUCGAUUGGACUCAAUCAAGUUUUUUUGCGUUUGUCUGGAUUGUUGUAUAUAUAUUUUUUUAGUUUGAUACAUGUUUUGCUUGUACACCUUACUUGAUUGUUUGUAAAAUUUAUACAGGAGUUUUCGCAUCAGACGUUCUGAUGCUAGCGUUGCAAAUAGUAAAACAAACUCUCCUGUGAAAUGUUUACAGUUCUGUAUAUAUGAGUGUGUUUAUCGCAUAUAUUUUGCAGUUAUACAUGUAGUCGAUUUUAUUUUCUAGACACAAACUUCAUAAAAUUU